UCCGGUCGUCGGCGAAGCUGCACGCGUUCGUCGCUUCUUUGCGCGCAAGUCUUUCGUUUUUUUACCGCCACACGGCUACGAUCGCCUGUCAUCAGUUGGAGCGAAAGGUUCGUUCCCAAGCGAGUAAAAUCCACAUACAAUAUACACCAGACGUGUGAUAUAUCGCUAAACACCUGUUACUAUCAUGGGCAAGGUCGUGGUACUAGUUCUCAGCAUCGUUAUCUGUCUAGCCACUCAGCAGGCGAUGGCAAAGGAAAAACACAUCAAGUACACCGAGAAAGAUCUGCUGCGAAAGUCGAUCGUGUACGACAAAAACACACCGGAUGUAUUCUACUGCCCCGUCAACAAACCGACCGGAAUGGAUAAGAUGAUUGUGAGGUCACGUCCACUCCACAAACUCUGUGAACACGAGGGUAAACCACUUCCUUCGCACUACAAAUCGGACUGCUACAACGACGUCGACGAGUCCAACUAUGCCUGCAAGGAGAAGUACAGAAUCAUGAAACGGUUCGCCAAAGAUAAUGUCGAGAUCUAAGGCAGAAUCUCUUCAAGUUGUUGGUGAUCUACACGCAACGACUUUCUCGUGCGAGCGAUAAUGUUUAGACCUUACUAUGCGCUGAAAACUAUAUCCAUUUUCAAGACUCAAAACUGUACAGAGCUCUGAAGACGCUGUUAAACUUUGAACGACUUUCUUAGCCUUUCUUAUUCUCUUCUCUUUGUCUUUUAUCAAUUUCUGCUGUAGAACAUAUUGUGUCCUCGCGAUAAUGCGUGUGAAUUGCGAUUAACAUUUUGCUUCGAUAAUUUUCUUCCAAUCUUCCUUUUCGUUUUUCCGCCCAAAUACUGCCUUAGCCAAUUUUUAUUCAAUUACACCUAAUACCAAAUCAUUAAGUAAGACACCCAAAAACGUAAAUAUCUAAAUAAGAAACAUUAUUUUCAUUUUAACGGUUACCAAACGACGAACAUGUGCACUUUCGUUCGUCAAAAGAGUGUUGCUGCUAACCAUUUCAUUUACUUAUAUUCAUUUAACACACUAAUAGCACACAAACCAUUCCGGGUGAAAACGGUUAAGGUACAUGAAAUGUGGCAAAUGUUUGAACUGUCUUAUGUUACUAACCAUUUUUCUCGGUCGCUCCUAUGCAUUGGACAAUAUAUUCUGCUGGUGGUUUCACAAUUAAUCCUAAUUGUAACAUGCCGUGUACGUUAACGCAUAACAUGACUGCUGAUUGCUUGCAAAACGUUAACUUCCGUACGUGACUGUGGACAUCGUUAGGCAACACUUUCUUCUGGGACAUAUUUGCAUAUUAAAGAAACAAAACGCCACACUGCACACAGAAACACGGUACUAAGACGGAUUUGAAUAGAACAUAUCGCUUUGCACAAGAAAUUUACACACAUUUGAAGGGAUUUACAAAUCACAAAUCCUGCUGCUUAAACGCCAGCUAAAAGCAUUACACGGGCAAUGGAGCUCUAUACACGAAAGAUGCGUCUGAACCCUCCCGGCAGUGACGUUCCGUUUAAUGGACAGCGUUUGAGCAGGUUUAUGGACAUGGAUGACGACAUGAAGCGAGUUAAGUCAAAGAAACAUUGAUCGACAAUGGUCUGACUUAUCGGCCAGAUAGCUGCCGUUACCUGCUUCUGUUCGCUAUGCCAUAUUAACAAUCCCGAAUCCUAACAAUGCUGUUGAAUGGAACACGGUUUCAUUCAUCCUCGCAACUGAAACUGGGUACUGGAUGGAGAAUACAAUCGUUAGUUAGACGCGUCUUUCAGUGAUAUUAGACUACGCUUAAAGCCUCUAUUCUACGCACUGCUGAUCGUGAAUGUGUAAUAUAUACUGAACAGUUCGUUGUAUAUUGUGUGUUAAAAAAGAAUAUUUGAAAGCAACUGUUUUCUGCGAUACAAUACCUAGAAGCGACCGACAACAUUUUGGACUAACUCGGAUCUAAGAAGUGCUCGAUUUCAUAUAUAAUUCACACCUGUUAGUUGAAUUGUAAGUGGGAGGGAAGUAAGGAAUGUAAU
Molecule: RNA transcript, 2016 nt
Organism: Anopheles moucheti
Lineage: Eukaryota; Metazoa; Arthropoda; Insecta; Diptera; Culicidae
Exons: 5
Source: RefSeq, a predicted model, not a curated record